UAAGGAAUCUUCCGCAAUGGACGAAAGUCUGACGGAGCAAUGCCGCGUGCAGGAUGACGGCCUUCGGGUUGUAAACUGCUUUUAUAUGGGAAGAUUGUGACGGUACCAUAUGAAUAAGGACCGGCUAACUACGUGCCAGCAGCCGCGGUAAUACGUAGGGUCCAAGCGUUAUCCGGAAUCACUGGGCGUAAAGCGUGCGUAGGCGGGUAUUUAAGUGAGACGUGAAAUCCUGGGGCUCAACCCUAUGGACUGUAUCUCAUACUGGAUACCUAGAGGACGGCAGAGGCAAGUGGAAUUACUGGUGUAGCAGUGAAAUGCGUAGAUAUCAGUAGGAACACCAAUGGCGAAGGCAGCUUGCUGGGCCGUUUCUGACGCUAAGGCACGAAAGCGUGGGGAGCGAACAG
Molecule: ribosomal RNA, 404 nt
Filed under: uncultured bacterium
Lineage: Bacteria
Description: bacterial SSU rRNA
Rfam family: Bacterial small subunit ribosomal RNA
Source: RNAcentral